GCUGGUGUGGCUCAAUUGGUAGAGCAACUGACUUGUAAUCAGUAGGUUGGGGGUUCGAGUCCUCUCACCAGCUCCA
This 76-nucleotide transfer RNA is filed under the name Gottschalkia purinilytica. RNAcentral describes it as "tRNA-Thr". It matches the Rfam family "tRNA". Rfam says of the family: Transfer RNA (tRNA) molecules are approximately 80 nucleotides in length. Their secondary structure includes four short double-helical elements and three loops (D, anti-codon, and T loops). The record is from RNAcentral. Lineage: Bacteria; Bacillati; Bacillota; Tissierellia; Tissierellales; Gottschalkiaceae.